This 503-nucleotide ribosomal RNA is filed under the name uncultured bacterium. RNAcentral describes it as "partial 16S ribosomal RNA". It matches the Rfam family "Bacterial small subunit ribosomal RNA", at positions 28 to 523 of the family's 1533-position model. The record is from RNAcentral.
GGUGAAUGCUAGCGGCAGGCCUAACACAUGCAAGUCGAGGGGUAGCAGGAUUAAGCUUGCUUAAUUGCUGACGACCGGCGCACGGGUGCGUAACGCGUAUGCAACCUACCUUAUACUGGGGUAUAGCCCGGAGAAAUUCGGAUUAAUCCCCCAUAGUACUAAUGAAUCGCAUGGUUUAUUAGUUAAAGCAUUGCGGUAUAAGAUGGGCAUGCGUCCUAUUAGCUAGAUGGUGAGGUAACGGCUCACCAUGGCUACGAUAGGUAGGGGGCCUGAGAGGGUGGUCCCCCACACUGGUACUGAGACACGGACCAGACUCCUACGGGAGGCAGCAGUGAGGAAUAUUGGUCAAUGGGCGCAAGCCUGAACCAGCCAUGCCGCGUGCAGGAAGAAUGCCCUAUGGGUUGUAAACUGCCUUUAUUUGGGAAUAAACCUCUUUACGUGUAGAGAGCUGAAGGUACCAAAUGAAUAAGCACCGGCUAACUCCGUGCCAGCCGCCGCAGUAA